Molecule: long non-coding RNA, 691 nt
Filed under: Nicotiana benthamiana
Lineage: Eukaryota; Viridiplantae; Streptophyta; Magnoliopsida; Solanales; Solanaceae
Description: long non-coding RNA (NBEN_LNC021550)
Source: RNAcentral
GCUCACCCUCAACAUCACAAGACCCGCCCCAAGCCUUUGCUCCUUCUUUCUCGACUAACCUACAGAACAUAGAGAACGACCCUUCCUGAGGUUUCUUCUUCUUCGAACUAGCAGCGACCAAGCGGACACGAACCAGACCCCGUCUUCAAAUCCCUCUCUUCUACCUAGAGCAUUCAUAUACAUGAAAAAGAGGAAACCAGUUGGAGAAGAAUGAAACAGAGAAAAGUUGGACUGAAAUUCGGGGAAAAUGGACGGAGAUUUUCAGAUUUGUGCUUAUCUCCUUAGUUUGAGAUUUCUUUCUAUCUAAAGUUCAUAAAAAUACAUAAAAGCAAACUCAGAUCCUCCUUAUUUCAUCUCUGCCGCAAAUCCGAAAAUACAAGAAAAAAUAUAGGUUGUCUUCUCUUCUUUCCAAAUUCUGUUUUGGUUACAAAAAUGGAGAUGGUUGAAGGUGCUCAAGUUCGAGUAGCGCGACUGUUGUUCGAGGUUAAAGUCUGAGUACCGGUGUGAAUCAGUCGUAGGUUCCGGUUGUUGGUUUGCGUCGUCUCUUUGGUGAUUCCAUUUGAAAGCUGUCAUUGCCGAUUCAUUCAAUUUGGCUCGAGUCACUUUUUGUAACUUGCCGAGGAAUUAAUUGAAAUUUUUGACAGGAAGGAUUUGAAGCAGCAGUUUUGUUCGUUCUUGUGUAAAUUCCAAG